This 1244-nucleotide ribosomal RNA is filed under the name Biffarius delicatulus. Its description in RNAcentral is "SSU rRNA". It matches the Rfam family "Eukaryotic small subunit ribosomal RNA", at positions 592 to 1806 of the family's 1831-position model. The record is from RNAcentral. Lineage: Eukaryota; Metazoa; Arthropoda; Malacostraca; Decapoda; Callianassidae.
CAAUAGCGUAUAUUAAAGUUGUUGCGGUUAAAAAGCUCGUAGUUGGAUCUCAGUUCCGGACUGACGGUGCACCGCCCGGUGUCUUUCCGUCACGCUCCGAGCAGCAGGGAUGACCCUGCCCCGGCGGCUCGCACGGGGUGCUCUUCACCGAGUGUCCCGCGUGGCCGGCACGUUUACUUUGAAAAAAUUAGAGUGCUCAAAGCAGGCUGCUUGAACGGCCUGAAUGGUGAUGCAUGGAAUAAUGAAAUAGGACCUCGGCUCUAUUUUGUUGGUUUUCGGAUCCAGAGGUAAUGACUAAUAGAAACAGGCGGGGGCAUUCGUACUGCGACGUGAGAGGUGAAAUUCUUGGACCGUCGCAUGACGAACUACUGCGAAAGCAUUUGCCAAGGAUGUUUUCAUUAAUCAAGAACGAAAGUUAGAGGUUCGAAGGCGAUCAGAUACCGCCCUAGUUCUAACCAUAAACGAUGCUGACUAGCGAUCCGCCGGCGUUAUUCCCAUGACCCGGCGGGCAGCUUCCGGGAAACCAAAGUCUUUGGGUUCCGGGGGAAGUAUGGUUGCAAAGCUGAAACUUAAAGGAAUUGACGGAAGGGCACCACCAGGAGUGGAGCCUGCGGCUUAAUUUGACUCAACACGGGGAACCUCACCAGGCCCGGACACCGGAAGGAUUGACAGAUUGAGAGCUCUUUCUCGAUUCGGUGGGUGGUGGUGCAUGGCCGUUCUUAGUUGGUGGAGUGAUUUGUCUGGUUAAUUCCGAUAACGAACGAGACUCUGGCCUAUUAACUAGUCGACGGAUCUCCAGCGAUGGUGUCCGGUUCGCAACGUCUUCUUAGAGGGACUGGCGGCAUUCUAGCCGCACGAGAUUGAGCAAUAACAGGUCUGUGAUGCCCUUAGAUGUUCUGGGCCGCACGCGCGCUACACUGAAGGGAUCAACGUGUUGUCCCCCUCCGAGAGGAGCGGGUAACCCGUUCAAACCCCUUCAUGAUAGGGAUUGGGGCUUGCAAUUGUUUCCCAUGAACGAGGAAUUCCCAGUAAGCGCAAGUCAUCAGCUUGCGUUGAUUACGUCCCUGCCCUUUGUACACACCGCCCGUCGCUACUACCGAUUGAAUGAUUUAGUGAGGCCUUCGGACUGGCGCUCCUGGAUGCUGGACCCUACCUUUUCGGAGGGGGGCCCUCGCCUCGAGCUGACGGAAAGAUGUCCAAACUUGAUCAUUUAGAGGAAGUAAAAGUCGUAACAAGGUUUCCGU